Molecule: ribosomal RNA, 216 nt
Filed under: Glomeromycotina sp.
Lineage: Eukaryota; Fungi; Glomeromycota
Description: partial small subunit ribosomal RNA
Rfam family: Eukaryotic small subunit ribosomal RNA (bases 44-216)
Source: RNAcentral
GGGUCAGUAGGUUGGUCGUGCCACCGGUACGUACUGGUCUCACUGAUUCCUCCUUCCUGAAGAACCGUAAUGCCAUUAAUUUGGUGUUGCGGGGAAACAGGACUGUUACUUUGAAAAAAUUAGAGUGUUUAAAGCAAGCUAACGCUUGAAUACGUUAGCAUGGAACAAUGAAAUAGGACGAUCGAUCCUAUUUUGUUGGCUUCUAGGAUUGACGUA